CCAGCCAUCCAUCCAAAUCAAUUAUUAUCAAAUCCAAGAAAUACCCCAAUACUAAUAUCCAAACCAUUAAAGCAAAUCAAUUAACAAUAGCCAAGGAUUGUUGCACUCUCAAUAAACUCUAGUUUUAGAACAUAUGCUACUCGAAGAAGUUCAAUCAUGCUAAUCCAAGUGGAAAAAAAAGAAGAAAGAGAGGCAGAAUUGAUGUCUAGAAAGAAUACCCUGCUUUCCACAAUGAAUAUUCAGUGAUCAUGUUAUGUUCUCUUGCCACACAAGAUCAAUAUGAAAAUGUAUUCAAAGCAAUCAAGUAUGGGGGCUGUAAAAGAGGUUAUAUUGGAAGCAAGUGUUGUGUUCCAAAAUCCAAAUCCAAAUCUUCUUGGCCAACCUUGAAAUUCUCCUCUAAUGCCUAACCUAGCGCUUUGCCUUUUUCCGUGACAUCUACAACAAGAAUAUAAUAAAAUUCAAGCAUUGGUUUAAACAAAAUACAAGCCAAAGAUGAUAAACACUACUUACACAGGGUGAUAGGGUAUGACAUACACUCACAUAAUGAAACGAAUUGUGACUACUAAUGACUUGGAUUCCUAAAUAUAGAAGACAUAAUAGAACUUGACAUAGAGGAACUGGUGUGAUAUGAGAUCUAUUUAGAUAAAUUAUCAGCAUGGCUUAAAUGUUAGACUUGUUCAUAUAUGUGUCAAAUAAGACUUGAUAUUAUUCAAGGUUUGGUAUAGAACUCUAACCUCAUUAAAAUGGGAGACAGAACGUGAAGAGUAUAAUUUCCACAGCUCUGUUGAUCUUGAUCCACGUUCAUCUGCAUGGCUGACUUCACAAGAGACUCGUUACUAUAAUCAGGGAUGGAUCUAGAAUUUUUUUUUACUCUGUGGGGACACAAAAUAACUAUAAAUAUAAAAUAUGUUAAAAGAAAUCACUUCAUCCAUGUACGAAAAAAAUGGAACCCUUACUCCAUUUACAACUUCACCUCACUUUUUAUUAAAACCCGCGUCAUCCAUAAUGUGACAAUUUUCUUGUGUACGAGUGAGUACGUAUUAUUGUACUCCAUUUUUAUGCUACUGUGAGAGAUCUCCCCAUUUACAAUCCUAAAUUUACUGCUGUAUGCAAUUUGUUUAAUAUAAAAAAUAAAAAGUACUGCUACUGUGUAACAUGAGUCAUAUUCCUUUUUAGGUUGUUGCACGAAAUUUGUUACGUUUUCUUAUAUGGCAAAAAAAUCUUUAUUCAAGUUUUCAUCUACGACACUAAACACACAAAAUAAUAAACGAUUCAUAUAAACGAAACAUUAUUAACACAAUCAAAUUGAUCAUUUAUCCUCUUAGUCCUACUAUAACAUCAUUGCCUUAGGGACUUCCAUAUUCAACUUUUGAAUAUGGAAGAAUAAUCACAAACCUUUCAGCAGAUUGUAGCUCUUGAAUUGAUGGUCGCUAGUAUUUGCUAAUCAAACUGAUGCUGAGAAAGAAAAAAUUGCAAAAAUUAAUCAGGGGAGCAUUUGGAUUGCAAAAUAAUCACACUAAUCAUAUCAAAAGCUCCUAUAGAAGAUUUACUAAUGCUCAUAGAGUCAUAGUCAUAGAUAGCCAGGUAAGUUUAUUUGUUGAACCAAGAAAUCAAAUGUAUUAGUAGAUGAUAUCAUUAACACACGCUGAGUGUAUUUGACAACAUAAAACAAUAUACAUUGAUUAAUAUUCGUGGAAUUAAAAACUACAGCAUCUUUUGGAAGGGAGAAUUCAAAACCUCCUUUCCAGCAUUGUCAUUUAUGCAUGUCAACUAUUUUGUAAUUAUGAACAGAGAAUUGAGCAAAAACAAUUAUUUUAACAAAUUUAGGAAUCCACCACUAGCCACUCCACCAAAGGCAUCUAAUAUAACUUUUAAAUUGACAAAGAAGAUCCAGGGUAAAAGGGGCUGAUAUAGUUGUACCAAAAGUUACUUCUAACUUCUAAGGCAUGUGCCAAAUAAGAUUUGAAAUUAUUCAAGGAUGGUAGAAAUCUAACCUCGUGAUCGGCAAGAACUCGUAGAUUAUAAUUUCCGUAACUCUCUUUUAUUUUCUUGGCUAACUCUACAAGAGAAUCAUCCAAGGAUAAAAAAUAAUGGGAGACACGAACAUGAAGAGUAUCAUUUCCAUAGCUCUGUUGAUCCUCAUUUAUCUGCUUGACUGACUUCUCAAGACACUCGUUACAAUACUCCA
Molecule: long non-coding RNA, 2188 nt
Filed under: Salvia miltiorrhiza (redroot sage)
Lineage: Eukaryota; Viridiplantae; Streptophyta; Magnoliopsida; Lamiales; Lamiaceae
Description: long non-coding RNA (SMIL_LNC007486)
Source: RNAcentral